RNAcentral lists this ribosomal RNA (255 nucleotides) under uncultured bacterium. Its description in RNAcentral is "partial 16S ribosomal RNA". It matches the Rfam family "Bacterial small subunit ribosomal RNA", at positions 524 to 775 of the family's 1533-position model. The record is from RNAcentral.
UACGUAGGGUGCAAGCGUUGUCUGGAAUUAUUGGGCGUAAAGAGCUCGUAGGCGGUUUUGUCGCGUCUGCUGUGAAAUCCCGAGGCUCAACCUCGGGCCUGCAGUGGGUACGGGCAGACUAGAGUGCGGUAGGGGAGAUUGGAAUUCCUGGUGUAGCGGUGAAAUGCGCAGAUAUCAGGAGGAACACCGGUGGCGAAGGCGGAUCUCUGGGCCUUACCUGACGCUGAGGCGCGAAAAGCUGGGGGGAGCGAACGG